GACGAACGCUGGCGGCGUGCCUAACACAUGCAAGUCGAGCGGGGUUUUCUUUAGCACUGAGUACUCUUAAACGUUGGUAGUAGGGCAGCGUUUAUGCAGAAACGACCUUAAAAAUCAGAUGGAGGUUUCUGCAUUACGCGUUAAACAGUGCCAACACAGGAUAUGAGAGUAUUGAGUGCUAAAAGAAAACCUAGCGGCGGACGGGUGAGUAACGCGUGACCAACCUGCCUUGCACAGGGGGGAUAACAACCGGAAACGGUUGCUAAUACCGCAUGAGACCCCACUAUCGCAUGAUAGAGAGGUUAAAGGGACUACCGGUGCAAGAUGGGCUCGCGUCCCAUUAGUUAGUUGGUAGGGUAACGGCCUACCAAGGCGACGAUGGGUAGCCGACCUGAGAGGGUGAUCGGCCACACUGGGACUGAGACACGGCCCAGACUCCUACGG
This 444-nucleotide ribosomal RNA is filed under the name uncultured prokaryote. Its description in RNAcentral is "bacterial SSU rRNA". It matches the Rfam family "Bacterial small subunit ribosomal RNA", at positions 28 to 344 of the family's 1533-position model. The record is from RNAcentral.